RNAcentral lists this ribosomal RNA (459 nucleotides) under uncultured bacterium. RNAcentral describes it as "partial 16S ribosomal RNA". It matches the Rfam family "Bacterial small subunit ribosomal RNA", at positions 338 to 795 of the family's 1533-position model. The record is from RNAcentral.
CCUACGGGGGGCAGCAGUGAGGAAUAUUGGUCAAUGGGCGCGAGCCUGAACCAGCCAAGUAGCGUGAAGGAUGACUGCCCUACGGGUUGUAAACUUCUUUUAUAAAGGAAUAAAGUGAGGCACGUGUGCCUUUUUGUAUGUACUUUAUGAAUAAGGAUCGGCUAACUCCGUGCCAGCAGCCGCGGUAAUACGGAGGAUCCGAGCGUUAUCCGGAUUUAUUGGGUUUAAAGGGAGCGUAGAUGGGUUGUUAAGUCAGUUGUGAAAGUUUGCGGCUCAACCGUAAAAUUGCAAUUGAUACUGGCAGCCUUGAGUACAGUUGAGGUAGGCGGAAUUCGUGGUGUAGCGGUGAAAUGCUUAGAUAUCACGAAGAACCCCGAUUGCGAAGGCAGCUUACUAAACUGUGACUGACAUUGAUGCUCGAAAGUGUGGGUAUCAAACAGGAUUAGAUACCCUUGUGUC